RNAcentral lists this ribosomal RNA (2150 nucleotides) under Enoploteuthis leptura. RNAcentral describes it as "SSU rRNA". It matches the Rfam family "Eukaryotic small subunit ribosomal RNA". The record is from RNAcentral. Lineage: Eukaryota; Metazoa; Mollusca; Cephalopoda; Oegopsida; Enoploteuthidae.
UCAUAUGCUUGUCUCAAAGCUUAAGCCAUGCAAGUGUAAGUUCACGCCACGCUUCAGAACGGGCGAAACCGCGAAUGGCUCAGGAACCGGACCUAAUCCUCGGGACCGUAAUCCUCCUCGGAGGCGAUGGAUAACUGUGGCAAUUCUAGAGCUAAUACAUGUGACACAGGCCGCGAUCGGCCGUCGUGCCGUGGUCGCCUCGCCUCGCGCGCUGGCACCCGCGGCGGCCGUCUCGGGUCGCGGCGCUACAUAUUAGACUGAGACCGAUGCGCGAUUCCCGGCCUCCCUUCGCUUUCGGGCGUCGGGGCCAAAGGUCGGCGCGCUCCGCUUUGGUGACUCUGGAUAACUCACUGGUCGAUCGCACGGGCUUCCACGCCCGGCGACGGGUCCCUCGAGGGUCCGCCCUAUCAACUGUCGACGGUCGGUUAAGUGCCUACCGUGGUUACUACGGGUAACGGGGAAUCGGGGUUCGAUUCCGGAGAGGGAGCAUGCGAAACGGCUACCACAUCCAAGGAAGGCAGCAGGCGCGCAAAUUACCCACUCCCGGCACGGGGAGGUAGUGACGAAAAAUAACGACGCGGGACUCUGUCGAGGCCCCGCGAUCGGAAUGAGUACACUUCAAAUCCGUUAACGAGGACCAACCGGAGGGCAAGUCUGGUGCCAGCAGCCGCGGUAAUUCCAGCUCCGGUAGCGUAUAUUAAAGUUGUUGCGGUUAAAAAGCUCGUAGUCCGAAUUCGGGUUCGUGGUCGCCUCGUGCGGCCCCGGGGCGGCGGCGCCAUCGUCCAUCGUUGACUUUGGUCGUCCGUUCGCAUUCCCGGCCCUUUCCGCCGGUGUCGAUCGCUGCAAGACGGCCGCGUUGGCGGUCGGGUGCGCGGGCUUGUCGUGCGUUCACGCGUGCGGUUCGUCAGCUCCCCGAUGCGGUCGGCGUGCUGCCGUCAGCGGUCUCUCCUCCAAGGGUGCUCUUAACCGAGUGUCCGCGGCGGCCGGUACGUUCACUUUGAAAAAAUUAGAGUGCUCAGAGCGGGCUGUUCAAGCUUGCAUACGAUAAGCAUGGAAUGAUGGAAGAGGGCCUCGUCUACGUCUGUCGGUCUCCGUCUACGGCGAGGCAAUGAUCGAAGGGAGCGGUCGGGGCCACUCGUAUUGCGACGUUAGAGGUGAAAUUCUUGGAUCGUCGCAAGACGAACUGCAGCGAUGGCGUGUGGCAAGCACGUUUUCCUCGAUCAAGAGCGAAAGUCGGAGGUUCGAAGACGAUCAGAUACCGUCGUAGUUCCGACCGUAAACGAUGCCGACCGGCGAUCCGCCGGCGUUCGCUUCCAUGACCCGGCGGGUAGCCUGCGGGAAACCAGAGUUCGGUUCCGGGGGGAGUAUGGUUGCAAAGCUGAAACUUAAAGGAAUUGACGGAAGGGCACCACCAGGAGUGGAGCCUGCGGCUUAAUUUGACUCAACACGGGAAAACUCACCCGGUCCGGACACCGGUAGGAUUGACAGAUCGAUAGCUCUUUCUCGAUUCGGUGGGUGGUGGUGCAUGGCCGUUCUUAGUUGGUGGAGCGAUCCGUCUGGUUGAUUCCGAUAACGAACGAGACUCCGGCCUGCUAACUAGUGCGCCGAUGUGAGUGCGACCCCUCCGCGGGAUUCGUGUGCGGUUGCGUUGCGGGGAUGCGUUGGCGCUGCGGCUUCUGGUCGUUGGYGUCGCGUGCCCCGCGCGUGUCCGGGUCGGUUUCUCACGCACUUCUUAGAGGGACGGGUGGCAGAAAGCCACACGAGGCGGAGCGAUAACAGGUCUGUGAUGCCCUUAGAUGUCCGGGGCCGCACGCGCGCUACACUGGAGGUAUCAGCGGGGACUUCGCCCCGGCCCGAGAGGGUCGGGAAACCUCUCAACCACCUCCCGUGAUAGGGAUCGGGGCCUGUAACCAACCCCGUGAACGAGGAAUUCCCGGUAGGCGCGGGUCAACAGCCCGCGUCGAUCACGUCCCUGCCCUUUGUACACACCGCCCGUCGCUACUACCGAUCGAACGGUCCGGUGAGGUCCUCGGAUCUGGCCGACGACGCUGUCGGGCGUGCGCUCUCGGGUGCCGCCUCGGCGUUCGACGCCUGGAGAAGACGACCGAACCCGAUCGUUUAGAGGAAGUAAAAGUCGUAACAAGGUUUCC